AACGCACAUUGCGCCCCUUGGUAUUCCAUGGGGCAUGCCUGUUCGAGCGUCAUUUACACCCUCAAGCUCUGCUUGGUGUUGGGCGUCUGUCCCGCCUUUUGUGCGUGGACUCGCCCCAAAGGCAUUGGCAGCGGUCUUGCCAGCUUCUCGCGCAGCACUUUGCGCUUCUUGAAGCAACUGGCAGAUUUCAGCAACCAUCAAGCCCCAUUUUUUCAACUUGACCUCGGAUCAGGUAGGGAUACCCGCUGAACUUAA
This 255-nucleotide unclassified non-coding RNA is filed under the name uncultured fungus. RNAcentral's name for it is "partial contains 5.8S ribosomal RNA, internal transcribed spacer 2, and large subunit ribosomal RNA". Lineage: Eukaryota; Fungi. The record is from RNAcentral.